RNAcentral lists this ribosomal RNA (634 nucleotides) under uncultured bacterium. RNAcentral's name for it is "bacterial SSU rRNA". It matches the Rfam family "Bacterial small subunit ribosomal RNA", at positions 338 to 951 of the family's 1533-position model. The record is from RNAcentral.
CCUACGGGAGGCAGCAGUGGGGAAGUAUUGCGCAAUGGGGGAAACCCUGACGCAGCAACGCCGCGUGAGUGAGGAAGGACUUCGGUCUGUAAAGCUCUGUUAAUGAGGAAAAAUGGUAGUUGGUCUAAUAGGCCGAUUAUUUGAUGGUACUCAUAGAGGAAGCACCGGCGUAACUUCGUGCCAGCAGCCGCGGUAAUACGAAGGGUGCAAGCGUUGUUCGGAUUUAUUGGGCGUAAAGCGCGCGUAGGCGGACCUGCAAGUAAGAUGUGAAAUCUCGAGGCUCAACCUCGAAACUGCGUCUUAAACUACAGGUCUAGAAUCUCGGAGGGGGAAGGGGAAUUUCGCAUGUAGGGGGUAAAAUCCGUAGAUAUGCGAAGGAACACCAGAGGCGAAGGCGCCUUCCUGGACGAGUAUUGACGCUGAGGCGCGAAAGCGUUGGGGAUCAAACAGGAUUAGAUACCCUGGUAGUCCACGCUGUAAAACGAUGAACACUAGGUAUUGGAGGUAUUUCGACCCCUUCAGUGCCGUAGCUAACGCGUUAAGUGUUCCGCGUAGGGAAGUACGGUCGCGAAGACUUAAACGUCGAAAGGAUUUGUAGCGUUGAGACGNGCGAGGACGACGACGAGGGAGGAGG